Molecule: long non-coding RNA, 324 nt
Organism: Chelonia mydas (Green sea turtle)
Lineage: Eukaryota; Metazoa; Chordata; Testudines; Cheloniidae
Exons: 3
Source: RefSeq, a predicted model, not a curated record
GGAAAUGCCACACCUUCGAGGCAACUGCCACAAACAUUCAGUCACAUGCUCCCCUGAAAUGUGAUGAUGGAGCCCCUGCAAAGGAACCUCAUCUACCCAUAGGAGCGUGGGGUGAUGGUUCCAGCACAGUGCUGGGAAAUGAGGCUCAACACCACAAUCAGGUUAGAUCACUACCAUGGCACGGACAGCGGGGGGAACUCACACCACUCGUUUCUUUGAAACUGCAGAAAACAUCCAGGUUUCAGCCUCAUCUUGGCAGUGACUAAUUCUGUUUACCUAUGAACAUUCACAGUAGCUGAGGUGAUGCCCACAUCACAGCAAGAG